UGGUAAUGCCGGAUGCUCCGGUUGGAUGCAUGUCCUUCCGGGAAAGAUUCUAUCGGUAUGGGAUGGGGUCGCGUCCUAUCAGCUUGAUGGCGGGGUAACGGCCCACCAUGGCUUCGACGGGUAGCCGGCCUGAGAGGGCGACCGGCCACAUUGGGACUGAGAUACGGCCCAGACUCCUACGGGAGGCAGCAGUGGGGAAUAUUGCACAAUGGGCGCAAGCCUGAUGCAGCGACGCCGCGUGCGGGAUGGAGGCCUUCGGGUUGUAAACCGCUUUUGAUCGGGAGCAAGCCCUUCGGGGUGAGUGUACCUUUCGAAUAAGCACCGGCUAACUACGUGCCAGCAGCCGCGGUAAUACGUAGGGUGCAAGCGUUAUCCGGAAUUAUUGGGCGUAAAGGGCUCGUAGGCGGUUCGUCGCGUCCGGUGUGAAAGCCCAUCGCUUAACGGUGGGUCUGCGCCGGGUACGGGCGGGCUGGAGUGCGGUAGGGGAGACUGGA
This 494-nucleotide ribosomal RNA is filed under the name Bifidobacterium dentium. RNAcentral describes it as "bacterial SSU rRNA". It matches the Rfam family "Bacterial small subunit ribosomal RNA", at positions 161 to 665 of the family's 1533-position model. The record is from RNAcentral. Lineage: Bacteria; Bacillati; Actinomycetota; Actinomycetes; Bifidobacteriales; Bifidobacteriaceae.